This 404-nucleotide ribosomal RNA is filed under the name Verrucomicrobiota bacterium. RNAcentral's name for it is "Verrucomicrobia bacterium partial 16S ribosomal RNA". It matches the Rfam family "Bacterial small subunit ribosomal RNA", at positions 355 to 776 of the family's 1533-position model. Lineage: Bacteria; Pseudomonadati; Verrucomicrobiota. The record is from RNAcentral.
UGGGGAAUAUUGCGCAAUGGGGGAAACCCUGACGCAGCACCGCCGCGUGCGGGAUUAAGGCCUUCGGGUUGUAAACCGCUUUCAGCAGGGGAGACAUCGACGGUACCUGCAGAAGAAGCCCCGGCUAACUACGUGCCAGCAGCCGCGGUAAUACGUAGGGGGCGGGCGUUAUCCGGAAUUAUUGGGCUUAAAGGGCAUCUAGGCGGUAAGACAAGUUGAAGGUGAAAACCUGUGGCUCAACCAUAGGCUUGCCUACAAAACUGUUGAACUAGAGUACUGGAAAGGUGGGUGGAACUACACGAGUAGAGGUGAAAUUCGUAGAUAUGUGUAGGAAUGCCGAUGAUGAAGAUAACUCACUGGACAGAAACUGACGCUGAAGUGCGAAAGCUAGGGGAGCAAACAGG